AACGCACCUUGCGCUCCUUGGUAUUCCAAGGAGCACGCCUGUUCGAGUGUCGUGAAGUUUAUCAAGCUUGAAGAUUUUUUUGCUUGACAAAAAUGCCCCUAGCUUGGUUUUGGGCUUUGCCGUUCCUUUAUUCGGAACGGCUGGCCUUAAAGAUAUUAGCUUGAUCCCUUGUGUGGCAUUGGUUCUACUCAGCGUGAUAAUAAUAUGACCGCUGAGGACAUCCUUCGGGGGGUGGUCAAUUCUCUUUGGGGGGUUGCUAUCUAAUCUCAGUUGCAGGAUUUCUUGGAUAAUCCUACUUCACUUCCAAAUUUGACCUCGAAUCAGGUGGGACUACCCGCUGAACUUAA
This 347-nucleotide unclassified non-coding RNA is filed under the name uncultured fungus. RNAcentral's name for it is "partial contains 5.8S ribosomal RNA, internal transcribed spacer 2, and large subunit ribosomal RNA". The stretch from base 1 to 52 matches the Rfam family "5.8S ribosomal RNA", at positions 103 to 154 of the family's 154-position model. Lineage: Eukaryota; Fungi. The record is from RNAcentral.